AGGGCAAGUCUGGUGCCAGCAGCCGCGGUAAUUCCAGCUCCAAUAGCGUAUAUUAAAGUUGUUGCAGUUAAAAAGCUCGUAGUUGAAUUUCGGGGUUAGUAGGUUGGUCAUGCCUCAGGUAUGUACUGAUCUCACUGAUUCCUCCUUCCUGAUGAACCGUAAUGCCAUUAAUUUGGUGUUGCGGGGAAACUGGACUGUUACUUUGAAAAAAUUAGAGUGUUUAAAGCAGGCUAACGCUUGAAUACAUUAGCAUGGAAUAAUGAAAUAGGACGUUCGAUCCUAUUUUGUUGGUUUCUAGGAUUGACGUAAUGAUUAAUAGGGAUAGUUGGGGGCAUUAGUAUUCAAUUGUCAGAGGUGAAAUUCUUGGAUUUAUUGAAGACUAACUACUGCGAAAGCAUUUGCCAAGGACGUUUUCAUUAAUCAAGAACGAAAGUUAGGGGAUCGAAGACGAUCAGAUACCGUCGUAGUCUUAACCAUAAACUAUGCCGACUAGGGAUCGGAUGAUGUUAAUUUUUUAAUGACUCAUUCGGCGCCUUACGGGAA
RNAcentral lists this ribosomal RNA (543 nucleotides) under uncultured Glomeromycotina. Its description in RNAcentral is "SSU rRNA". It matches the Rfam family "Eukaryotic small subunit ribosomal RNA", at positions 552 to 1096 of the family's 1831-position model. The record is from RNAcentral. Lineage: Eukaryota; Fungi; Glomeromycota.